RNAcentral lists this ribosomal RNA (408 nucleotides) under Triticum aestivum (bread wheat). RNAcentral's name for it is "partial small subunit ribosomal RNA". The record is from RNAcentral. Lineage: Eukaryota; Viridiplantae; Streptophyta; Magnoliopsida; Poales; Poaceae.
AUGAAGAUGCUUAAUUGGAAUGUCUGUGGCCUUGGUGACAGCGAUAAAUGCUCGCCUGUUCAUGAUGUUUUAACCUCCUGUUGUCCUAGCAUUGUUUCUCUCCGGGAAACGAAGCUUGAUGACCUUCCUUUGCUCAAGCUACGCAGUUUUUUACCUGCCAACCUUACUGCUCACGCUGCUGCUCGCUCAGAUGGCACUUCAGGAGGCAUUCUUGUUGCUUGGGACCCCAAUAUUGUGCAAGGCCAAACUGUUGCUGCUCACAAGUUCCAUGUCACUGUCAAGAUGUCUUCUACAACAACCAAUAGUUCGUUUCUGCUCAUACCCGUUUAUGCACCAUGUUUAAUCAAUGAGAGACCAGAGUUUUUUGAGGUUGUUAAUGAUGUUGCUGCUGAGCCGGGUACACCUUGA